UGCAGAAGAAACAAACGCAGAAAGAAAACAGAAAAGAAGCUUGCGAGUGGAAAGCAGAAAAGAAAAGAGAGAAUUUGAAUGAAAAACAACCUGAAAUUUUUCAUUAACUUGAGAAUAAGGCCUUAAGCCAUUACAUAUACCAGCUAACUUGUAAAACAAACAAGUUAUCACCUAAUCAACUACCGAACACCACUAAUAUGCAUUGAAACUUACAAGAUUAGCUUGCAUAAUAGCUUUACUGAUUUUUAGUCAAUCAACAUCAAAACAUCUACCUACUAAGUUCAAAAUGAAGUAGAUUACAAAAGGAUUAAGGAACAACUAAAUGUGGCAACUAGAUCAGAACUUUGAGCUUCAGCUGCUGCACACCAUGGCUCGACUGCAUGCUGACUUUCCUCUUGCAUGGCCACCUUUGUUGAUCAGCACCUGGCAUGGGAACUAACCUCAACAGAGGUGCUUAAAUGCAUCCAAAUUGGGUUAUUGUGCGUGCAAUCAGAUCCGGCAGACAGACCGACUAUGUCAACAGUGGUUGCAAUGUUAGGAAGCGACACCAUAACAGUUCCUCUACCAGCGAAACCUGCAUUUUAUGUUGGACGUUUUAUUGCAGAAUCAGUUCAACCCAAUUCAAGUGAUAAAAUAUGUUCUGUUAAUGAAGUUACGAUUUCAAACAUGUCACCUCGGUGAUUGAUUAGUCAUUCCAUCUUCAAGUUUUUCACUAUUACAAGAUAUGAUAGAUUCUAAAAAUUUUGUUAAGCCGCUCUUUUAGCUAAAUGUUCUGCAACAUUCCAGCAAAACACAGGGAGAUGUUCU
Molecule: long non-coding RNA, 807 nt
Filed under: Gossypium raimondii (Peruvian cotton)
Lineage: Eukaryota; Viridiplantae; Streptophyta; Magnoliopsida; Malvales; Malvaceae
Description: long non-coding RNA (GRAI_LNC002508)
Source: RNAcentral